This 22-nucleotide small RNA is filed under the name Arabidopsis thaliana (thale cress). RNAcentral describes it as "ATSL111530". The record is from RNAcentral. Lineage: Eukaryota; Viridiplantae; Streptophyta; Magnoliopsida; Brassicales; Brassicaceae.
GAAGAGAAGAAGAAGAAAAAAU